Molecule: non-coding RNA, 24 nt
Filed under: Arabidopsis thaliana (thale cress)
Lineage: Eukaryota; Viridiplantae; Streptophyta; Magnoliopsida; Brassicales; Brassicaceae
Source: RNAcentral
AGAACUGUGUUGCGUGUGUUUUGC